This 71-nucleotide transfer RNA is filed under the name Marmota marmota marmota (Alpine marmot). It matches the Rfam family "tRNA". Rfam says of the family: Transfer RNA (tRNA) molecules are approximately 80 nucleotides in length. The record is from Rfam by way of RNAcentral. RNAcentral also lists the same sequence under 3 other names. Lineage: Eukaryota; Metazoa; Chordata; Mammalia; Rodentia; Sciuridae.
GUGGUUGUGGCUCAGUGAUAGAGCACUUACCUAGCAUGUGUGAGGCACUGAGUUCAAUCCUCAGUGCCACA